ACAGAUGUUUUCUUGAGAUAGAGUUGAGUUUUAAAAAAUAAAAUUACUUAAAAUACACUUUAGUGUGAACAUAUGCACAUUUAUAUGGUAUUUGACUAAAUUUUGAGAACACUUUUGUCAAACUAAAUAUGAACUGUUGAUUAUGCUUUCCCUAAAUUUGUAGUCAAAAUUUUGGUGGUGUUUUCCAUAUUAUGCUUGUAGCUCAAAACCAGAACGUAUAUGUUGGUUGAAUAAAUAGAAAUUUAAGAUUGAGCAUAUAUAGCUCACUGACUGUAAAUUAUCAACCUAGCUAUUCUUCAGUCCUUCGUAAAAACAUUAAGGAUCGAAAGAGUUGGAACAAACAACUUGAAGCAUUACUGUUUAGGAGAAAAUCUUUGUUGGUUUAGUGGUUGUAUAUUGAUGAUGCGGUCUUCCAGGUGGACACAAAAGUGAUUGCAAAUUAGAAACAUUAAUCUAAAGCAUACCUUGUCCA
Pyrus x bretschneideri (Chinese white pear) is the source of this 472-nucleotide long non-coding RNA. RefSeq lists it as uncharacterized. Lineage: Eukaryota; Viridiplantae; Streptophyta; Magnoliopsida; Rosales; Rosaceae. The transcript is spliced from 2 exons. The record is from RefSeq and is a predicted model, not a curated record.